UAGGGAAUAUUGGACAAUGGGGGCAACCCUGAUCCAGCCAUGCCGCGUGAGUGAAGAAGGCCCUCGGGUUGUAAAGCUCUUUUGUCCGGAAAGAAAAGCAUUCGGUGAAUACCCGGAUGUUCUGACGGUACCGGAAGAAUAAGCACCGGCUAACUUCGUGCCAGCAGCCGCGGUAAUACGAAGGGUGCAAGCGUUACUCGGAAUUACUGGGCGUAAAGCGUGCGUAGGUGGUUGUUUAAGUCUGAUGUGAAAGCCCUGGGCUCAACCUGGGAAUGGCAUUGGAACCUGGGCAGCUAGAGUGCGGUAGAGGGUAGUGGAAUUCCCGGUGUAGCAGUGAAAUGCGUAGAGAUCGGGAGGAACAUCUGUGGCGAAGGCGACUGCCUGGACCAGCACUGACACUGAGGCACGAAAGCGUGGGGAGCAAACAG
RNAcentral lists this ribosomal RNA (428 nucleotides) under uncultured bacterium. RNAcentral's name for it is "bacterial SSU rRNA". It matches the Rfam family "Bacterial small subunit ribosomal RNA", at positions 355 to 775 of the family's 1533-position model. The record is from RNAcentral.